GACGAACGCUGGCGGCGUGCUUAACACAUGCAAGUCGAGCGGUAAGGCCCUUUCGGGGGUACACGAGCGGCGAACGGGUGAGUAACACGUGGGUGACCUGCCUCUAGCUCUGGGAUAAGCCUGGGAAGCUGGGUCUAAUACCGGAUAUUGACCUCGCGGUGCAUGUUGCGGGGUGGAAAGCCUUGUGCGGCUAGGGAUGGGCCCGCGGCCUAUCAGCUUGUUGGUGGGGUGAUGGCCUACCAAGGCGACGACGGGUAGCCGGCCUGAGAGGGCGACCGGCCACACUGGGACUGAGACACGGCCCAGACUCCUACGGGAGGCAGCAGUGGGGAAUCUUGCGCAAUGGGCGAAAGCCUGACGCAGCGACGCCGCGUGAGGGAUGACGGCCU
RNAcentral lists this ribosomal RNA (389 nucleotides) under uncultured bacterium. Its description in RNAcentral is "bacterial SSU rRNA". It matches the Rfam family "Bacterial small subunit ribosomal RNA", at positions 28 to 417 of the family's 1533-position model. The record is from RNAcentral.